Labrus mixtus (cuckoo wrasse) is the source of this 1792-nucleotide long non-coding RNA. RefSeq lists it as uncharacterized. NCBI's taxonomy places the organism in Eukaryota, Metazoa, Chordata, Actinopteri, Labriformes, Labridae. The transcript has 3 exons. The record is from RefSeq and is a predicted model, not a curated record.
CAGCCAUUGGCUGAGGCUGCCGGGGUCGUUUUGGGUUUUUUUUCUCAAAGCGGUGAGACGGGCAGAGACUGGCAGACGAACCUAUUGUUCCGGACAAAUCAUGAUUUUAUUCUGUGAAGUGGAGCCCGACGUGCUGCGGAUUUAACUCUGGAACAACAUUGAUGUGAGUGAAAGCAGCUUUUCUUCAGAGAGAGGCAGAAAGAGGAGAACACACUGACAGAACGAGCUGGAGGUUAUUACCAGUUGGAGGGAUCGAUCCCUGGGACUCGCUGGAGGUGCCAUACAAGGCGGCCAUGUCUGUGACUGUUCAUGAGAAUCGAAAAUCCCGCACCAGCACGGGCUCCAUGAACAUCUCAUUGUUCCACAAGCCUUCACACCCGGACAGCGUGCUGACUCACCUGAACUCCAUGAGGAAGCAGUGCAUGUUCACUGACGUCACUCUGUGGGCUGGAGACCGAUCUUUCCCCUGUCACAGGGCCGUCCUGGCAGCCUGCAGUCGAUAUUUUGAGGCCAUGUUCAGCGGAGGACUGCGAGAAAGUCUGGACAGUGACGUCAACUUCAGAGACAGUAUACACCCCGAGGUGCUGCUUAUACACACACACACACACACACACACACACACACACACACACACACACACAGGAGCUAACACUAAAGCUUCUGUGUGGCGCCGGGCAAUAAAUCAAUUUUUAUUAAAGCAGCUUGGAGGAUUUUUUUCUUGAAUCAAAUAUUGCGUCCCCUGCAGACAAAGCUAUUCGUCUUAUUAUUGUGCUGCACAUGUUUAUGAAGUAUUCUCUCCUCUCAUCUCAUUCUCACUGUCGGCCAUUCAGCUAGCUGUGUGACACUUGGCUGUAUCAGCACUCCGUUCCAAAGCCAGUUAAACUCCACAUGGUAUGUUUAAUGACAGAAUUCAUGGCUAAGGACGAUGAUGAAAUAUCCCUUUAACUUGGGUGAUAAUGUCCCUGUAGUUGAAAGAGGAGGCUCCACUACAGACAGGUAAACAUGGCUGCAUUCAUCAGCUCUGCUAGAUGGAGCACUUUGUUCCCUCUGAUGUCCAUUCAGCUCUGAACAAACAAACCUCUGUACACAGUUUGUCUAAAGUCUGGGGUCAUCUCAAACAGAGACAGAACUUCAGCGAGAGCUCACAAACACAACAGCGUCCUGAACACACUGCUGAGAUGCAGCCAACAUCAGUGGUAUGAAGUUCCAUCAGAUUGUUGAAGUUUUGUGAUUCAGAUGCAGAGGCUGCCUGAGUGUGAUGAACGCAUCAGAAAGCUCCUUGAAUGAACACAAUCAAAUAGUUGUGUUUCAAACAUUUCCCAAAAGCUGCCUCUGGACCGUUUCCUCCAGCAGACAGAUGAAACGAGCUGUGAAAUGAAGAAUGAAGAUGGACCGGCUCAUUUCAGGUUCUCAUAUGAGCCAUGCUGUCUCAGUGUGAGCUCCAGGGAGACCCUCUCCAGACUCUGUGUGUCCAUGUUCGUACAUUAACAAAAUACUCCUCUCUCUCUUUUAUUACUUAUUGUGGCUUUUUGUCCAAAAAAACAACUUAAGUUAAAAUGAUAAACAAACCACAUAAACUCAAUAAACAGCCACUGAUGCACCGUUCCAGUGAGGCCUUACGCACGCAAUAAGUUCAAUGAAUCUCUUGUUUCUUUAUUUAAUUAAGACAUACAAACAUUUCCAACUGCAUUCAUUGACAUGUGGUAAAGAAACCUGUGUCCCUUCCUGGUGCAUCACCCAACAGUGACACACCUGGAACAUUUAAAGUGUUCCUGAUCAACCCAUGUGCACU